UCUCGGGUGACGAGUGGCGGACGGGUGAGUAAUGUCUGGGGAUCUGCCCGAUAGAGGGGGAUAACCACUGGAAACGGUGGCUAAUACCGCAUAACGUCGCAAGACCAAAGAGGGGGACCUUCGGGCCUCUCACUAUCGGAUGAACCCAGAUGGGAUUAGCUAGUAGGCGGGGUAACGGCCCACCUAGGCGACGAUCCCUAGCUGGUCUGAGAGGAUGACCAGCCACACUGGAACUGAGACACGGUCCAGACUCCUACGGGAGGCAGCAGUGGGGAAUAUUGCACAAUGGGCGCAAGCCUGAUGCAGCCAUGCCGCGUGUAUGAAGAAGGCCUUCGGGUUGUAAAGUACUUUCAGCGGGGAGGAAGGCGAUGUGGUUAAUAACCGCGUCGAUGACUACCCGCUUAAU
Molecule: ribosomal RNA, 406 nt
Filed under: Pantoea ananatis
Lineage: Bacteria; Pseudomonadati; Pseudomonadota; Gammaproteobacteria; Enterobacterales; Erwiniaceae
Description: bacterial SSU rRNA
Rfam family: Bacterial small subunit ribosomal RNA
Source: RNAcentral